RNAcentral lists this ribosomal RNA (1279 nucleotides) under Scolytinae sp. BMNH 1274292. RNAcentral's name for it is "large subunit ribosomal RNA". The stretch from base 853 to 1208 matches the Rfam family "Archaeal large subunit ribosomal RNA", at positions 2153 to 2713 of the family's 2987-position model. Lineage: Eukaryota; Metazoa; Arthropoda; Insecta; Coleoptera; Curculionidae. The record is from RNAcentral.
UUAUUUUGUGUUAUAUUAUUUAGUACUGAUUUUUAUUGGAAGUUACAUUUGUUUUAUUAAAUUUUUGAAUAGAUUUGAUUUAUUAUAGUUGAUUAGUAUUGUGAGAGAAUUUGGUUUUUAUUUGUAAAGGAAGUUUGUUUUACUGUACCUUGUGUCUCAGGGUUGAUUAAUUAAAGUUUAUGUAUUUAUUUUUCUCGAAUUUAGAAGAGCUACAAUUUUAUAUUUUUUAUUGUAAAAUAAAUAUUAUUAAUAAUAUUGUGGGGGUGAAACGUUAUUCGAUUUUAAGUAUAUCUGGUUCUCAAAGAAAUUUUUUUAAUUUAUUUUUCGUUUUAAUAUUUUUUAUAAGUUUUAUAUUUUUGAUGUUGACGAGAUUAUAGGGUGGAUGGGAUGAGCUUUUUACUUGAUUUAUAAAAUUUGUUUAUUUUGCUUUGGAAAUAGGAAUUGAAGUUUCUUUUUUAGUAGUGUUUUAUAACAAGCCAGGCUUAUUUAUUAUUUUUAUUUUAUUUAUGUAUUUUAUUUGAUUUUUUGUUUAAAUGUUUUAAAUUGUUUAAUAAUGAUUAAAUUAGUAGAGAAUUUUAAUAUGAUAUUUUAUUCUGGUUAGGUAAAAUUAAGGAAUUCGGCAAAUGUGUUUUCUACCUGUUUAUUAAAAACAUGUCUUUUAGUUUAUUAUUUAAGGUCUGGCCUGCCCAAUGAUUUUUUAUUUAAUGGCCGCGGUAUUUUGACCGUGCAAAGGUAGCAUAAUCAUUAGUUUCUUAAUUGGAAGCUGGAAUGAAGGGUUGGAUAAGAAAACUUCUGUCUCUUUUUUAUUGAUAUUGAAUUUUAUUUUUGAGUGAGAAAGCUUAAAUAUUUGAUGAAGACGAGAAGACCCUAUAGAGUUUUAGGCUUUAAAGUUUAUUUUAAUUGGUAUUUUAUUAUUUAUGUAUUUAGUAGCCUUUGGUUGGGGUGACUGAAAAAUUUAAUUAACUUUUUUUUUACUUUAACACUGAUUUGUGAUUGUAUGAUCCUUUUUUUUGAUUAUAAGAAUAAAUUACCUUAGGGAUAACAGCGUAAUUAUUUUUUAGAGUUCUGAUCGAUAAAAUAGUUUGCGACCUCGAUGUUGGAUUAAAGUUUUACCCGGGUGUAGGGGCUUGGGCUUUAGGUCUGUUCGACCUUUAAAAUUUUACAUGAUCUGAGUUUAAACCGGUGUGAGCCAGGUUGGUUUCUAUCUCUUUUAUUUUUUAAUGUUUUAGUACGAAAGGACCAGACAUUGUUUUGAAAAAGUUUAGUUUUGAAUAUUAUU